UACGUAGGUGGCAAGCGAUACUCGGAAUCACUAGGCGUAAAGCGCAGGUAGGCGGUUUGGUAAGUCUUUUGUGAAAGCUCCCGGCUCAACUGGGAGAGGUCAAGGGAAACUACCAGACUAGAGUGUGGUAGGGGAUACUGGAAUUCCUGGUGUAGCGGUGAAAUGCGUAGAUAUCAGGAGGAAUACCUAUGGCGAAAGCAGGUAUCUGGGCCAUCACUGACGCUGAGCUGCGAAAGCUAGGGGGAGCAAACAGG
This 254-nucleotide ribosomal RNA is filed under the name uncultured bacterium. Its description in RNAcentral is "partial 16S ribosomal RNA". It matches the Rfam family "Bacterial small subunit ribosomal RNA", at positions 524 to 776 of the family's 1533-position model. The record is from RNAcentral.